UAAUUGCAACAAUAGUCUCAAAUUUUUUAAAAAUUACAAAUUGGUUACAAAUAUAUACUUAAAUAUCAAAAAAAAAAAAAAAAAAACAACCACCACCACCCUUUGGGAAUGGAGCCACCAGCAUCCGACGGUCCAUAAUCAAACCACCACCCACCACUGCAUAAAUCAUAGGAAACUGCUCCCUUUACCAGCAAGUUUAAGCCACAAACACUUCCCCAUCAAUGAAUUACACAAAUAGAUCCUAUAACCAUCCAAAACUUAGAAGAAACUCUUAACUAGUUAGAGAAACCAAUUUGCUUCUUCCAUCAAUUCCGGCGUUGGUAAUUGGUUCCAUUGUUGCGGACCACCCAUUCCGGCAUCCUCUACUAAAGGUCCAACUAUUACAACAAUGGGUCCUCAUCAAUUUCAACAUAAUAUACCGAUUUCACCAUCUCCAAAUUUAGUAUUCGCAUUUUUCGGCAAACGGGUUAUUCUGUGUCGAUUUUCACCAUGCUCUAACUUGUAUGUUUGGAUUACACGGGAUGUCUAAAAGAUGGUGAAAUUUGGUUUAAGAGACUAGUAUUUGCAAGGUGAAUUACAGGCAAGUGUAGCCCUCUAAGCUGAAUCACAGAGGCUGCUGGGGAAAGAAAAUUGGAAUUCCUUUUGGGGAUUAUUCUUUUUUUACAAGUCGGUGGCUAGGGCAGAAAAUUGGAGAGACAUUGCGUGGCUGUUUUUGGGGACCGAAUUGAGGAUAUUACACGCACAAAAACAAAAAAAACAUGGAGAGAAAAUGGCUAUUAUGGGAGACUUGGGGCGCUGUUGAAAAGACGGGGAAAAUGAAGGAAUCACGUAAUUGACAACAAGAUAGAAACAUAAGUUUUACAUUUUUGACAUAAAAAGAAGCUAAAUUACAGAAGUUUCAUCUAGGCUUUCAUCUUUUCCGGCAAUCUUUGCAGCCAAGCUAUCCGGUGAUAUCCCAAGAAUUAACUGCCGGAGUUAUUUUGUGAGGGGGAGCGUGGUAGUGGGGUGGGGGUGAGGUGUGGGAAGAAGGUGAAUAUUUUUUGGGGUUAUUUGUACUUUUAAAAGUUUGAGCCUAUAGUUCCAAUUUAUUUUUUUAUUUUUCUUUUCUUUUCUCUUUUGUUUUAUUUAAAUACGAGGGCUUAUCGAUCAUUUUACGUUGAAAAUUGGUAAAACGAACGUCCAGCGCAAAGAAAUGUGGAAAUAGCGGCAAAAUUGUCAAAAAAAAAAUGAAAGAUAAUGACGUUUUCUACAAUAACCUUAAAAGAUAGGGACGUUUU
Molecule: long non-coding RNA, 1277 nt
Filed under: Olea europaea subsp. europaea
Lineage: Eukaryota; Viridiplantae; Streptophyta; Magnoliopsida; Lamiales; Oleaceae
Source: RNAcentral